This 496-nucleotide ribosomal RNA is filed under the name uncultured bacterium. RNAcentral's name for it is "partial 16S ribosomal RNA". It matches the Rfam family "Bacterial small subunit ribosomal RNA", at positions 28 to 506 of the family's 1533-position model. The record is from RNAcentral.
GAUGAACGCUGGCGGCGUGCCUAAUACAUGCAAGUCGAGCGAACAGACGAGGAGCUUGCUCCUCUGACGUUAGCGGCGGACGGGUGAGUAACACGUGGAUAACCUACCUAUAAGACUGGGAUAACUUCGGGAAACCGGAGCUAAUACCGGAUAAUAUAUUGAACCGCAUGGUUCAAUAGUGAAAGACGGUUUUGCUGUCACUUAUAGAUGGAUCCGCGCCGCAUUAGCUAGUUGGUAAGGUAACGGCUUACCAAGGCAACGAUGCGUAGCCGACCUGAGAGGGUGAUCGGCCACACUGGAACUGAGACACGGUCCAGACUCCUACGGGAGGCAGCAGUAGGGAAUCUUCCGCAAUGGGCGAAAGCCUGACGGAGCAACGCCGCGUGAGUGAUGAAGGUCUUCGGAUCGUAAAACUCUGUUAUUAGGGAAGAACAAAUGUGUAAGUAACGAUGCACGUCUUGACGGUACCUAAUCAGAAAGCCACGGCUAACUACGU